GGCGUGUACUGCUUGGCUGGGCCUUACUUCUUGGUGAGCCGGCGUGCCCUUUAUUGGUGUGCGUCGGGGAACCAGGACUUUUACCUUGAGAAAAUUAGAGUGUUCAAAGCAGGCCUAUGCCUGAAUACAUUAGCAUGGAAUAAUAGAAUAGGACGUGCGGUUCUAUUUUGUUGGUUUCUAGAGUCGCCGUAAUGAUUAAUAGGGACAGUUGGGGGCAUUGGUAUUGAGUCGCUAGAGGUGAAAUUCUUGGAUUGACUCAAGACCGACUAUUGCGAAAGCAUUUGCCAAGGAUGUUUUCAUUAAUCAAGAACGAAAGUUAGAGGUUCGAAGGCGAUCAGAUACCGCCCUAGUUCUAACCAUAAACGAUGCCAGCUAGCGAUCCGCCGAAGUUCCUCCGAUGACUCGGCGGGCAGCUUCCGGGAAACCAAAGCUUUUGGGUUCCGGGGGAAGUAUGGUUGCAAAGCUGAAACUUAAAGGAAUUGACGGAAGGGCACCACCAGGUGUGGAGCCUGCGGCUUAAUUUGACUCAACACGGGGAAACUCACCAGGUCCAGACAUAACUAGGAUUGACAGAUUGAUAGCUCUUUCAUGAUUUUAUGGGUGGUGGUGCAUGGCCGUUCUUAGUUGGUGGAGUGAUUUGUCUGGUUAAUUCCGAUAACGAACGAGACCUUAACCUGCUAAAUAGCCAGGCCGGCUUCGGCUGGUCUCUGGCUUCUUAGAGGGACUGUCAG
This 731-nucleotide ribosomal RNA is filed under the name uncultured eukaryote. RNAcentral's name for it is "bacterial SSU rRNA". It matches the Rfam family "Eukaryotic small subunit ribosomal RNA", at positions 672 to 1426 of the family's 1831-position model. The record is from RNAcentral.